GUCCCGUCAGCCGUCUCCGUUUGGGCCCCGCCCGCCAAACCCGCCAGCUCCGGGUCAGCGCUCUCUGCACCGAGCAGCAACCCGGCGGCUCAGCGCGGGCGAAAUCUACGAUUUUCAAAACUGAGCGCUCAGCCAAUUCUCGGCAAGUUUGUGUGGGCGGUUGCAAACCUCGAAGCCUAUCAGGUGGCGGGAAAGACUAUGGUGGACCUUCAUUGGCUGCUCACAUCAUCAAUUUGCGGGACUAAGGGCGGGAAAAGGAAGCGCAGACGUUUUAACCCUCCUCGGCUUCCGGAGCGGGAAGAAGUCCCCGGCCGGGCAGGCGCGUGAUGCCGGAACUACACGUCCCGGCGUGCACUGCGCGAGAGGGCGAAGCUGGGUCCCAGGCGACGGCUUUGCAAUCUCUUCCUCUUUGGAGAAACGCGGAGAAAAUGCCUGGCGCUUGGCCAGCAGCUUGACAUAGCCUCUCUGUUGGCCUGGAAGAUGCAUCUGGUUAGACUCAACAUGCGCAGUAUGCAUCUUGCUGUGUUAUGCUGUGUGAAUCUCGUGUUCCUCGGAAACUUCCACACUCAAGACAAUUUCCUGCAAGACCACGGAGGAUCAGGACAUCUCUGUCAGGCCUGAUCUACGCGAGUCCUUCACAAACAAACGGACAAAGCAAUAAGCAAACAGGCUGCUUUCAGCAAACAGCGGCAGCUGCCCGGCAAACAGAACAAAUGGACUCAAAGCGAAGUAUAAACCCCCGGCUGCGGAGAAGUCCAGUGAUUGUCUACCCAGAGGAGCAGACCGCCCUUGGAUUCAAUCAUAAAUAUCUCACAAUGGGUCUACAUAAGCCCCAUUCCUUUCCCAGAUGGCAGCCACAUGCUCUGGAGCUGGUCACUUCAGGGAUGCCUUGA
This 893-nucleotide long non-coding RNA is filed under the name Fukomys damarensis (Damara mole-rat). RNAcentral describes it as "lncRNA (ENSFDAG00000030539.1)". Lineage: Eukaryota; Metazoa; Chordata; Mammalia; Rodentia; Bathyergidae. The record is from RNAcentral.